Passer domesticus (house sparrow) is the source of this 740-nucleotide long non-coding RNA. RefSeq lists it as uncharacterized. The transcript has 4 exons. The record is from RefSeq and is a predicted model, not a curated record. NCBI's taxonomy places the organism in Eukaryota, Metazoa, Chordata, Aves, Passeriformes, Passeridae.
CGCUAACAAGAUUACUUAGCCAGGGCUAAUUCUGCAUUUGCUGAAGUGCAGUAUCCAGGAACUCACAGAACAUCAUCGCAGGAGGAUGCUGAUAACCAAUAUUGUUUUACAGCUAAGGCUCUCCAAGUGACUCAGGCAACCACCUCCAGAUGAGAGCAAUUGCCUGCUGGAGGUGCCCAUUUUUCUCCAUUGAUGGUAAAUGAGAUCUGAGUGCUCAGUGCAGAUGCCGAGACCUGGGUGCCAUCAGGUACUAAACCAUACCCGUCGUCUCUGCACAUGAGAAAGGGGGUCAGCUCUACACAGGGAAUUCACACAUUUGAUAUCCACCACCUCAGUGCCUGGAAAAUGACCAAACAGAUUUUGAAGUCACAUAAGUGAAACAGGCAGGCAUGAGGAGAAACUUGAGUGUCUGAGGUUUGUUUCCUUGAAAAACAAAGCGUUCAUUCAAAACAUUCAGCUGCCCUCAUGACUUCACCCUCAACAUCUGAAAGCACCAAAAUCUCCCUCAAAAAUAUGUUCAAGUCACACUGAAAAUUCAAGGGACUCCCUCUAGCAAGUGCUCUGGUUUUCUCCAGCUGUAGAAAGCCAAAACACAUCCCACUCCUGUUCCUUCAAAGAUCAGUCCACUAGCCAAGGGGUUGGAUUGUGCAGACAGCCCUGUGCCUUGGGCACUUUGGAAGGAGCUGAGAGUCUUGAACUCGAUUUCCAAGAAAGAAUUUCCAUGCAUGUUCCAAUUUUAA